UUGGAGGGCAAGUCUGGUGCCAGCAGCCGCGGUAAUUCCAGCUCCAAUAGCGUAUAUUAAAGUUGUUGCAGUUAAAAAGCUCGUAGUUGAAUUUCGGGAUCAGCAGGUUGGUCGUGCCUCUGGUAUGCACUGGUUUCGCUGAUUCCUCCUUUCUGAAGAACCGUAAUGCCAUUAAUUUGGUGUUGCAGGGAAACAGGACUGUUACUUUGAAAAAAUUAGAGCGUUUAAAGCAGGCUAACGCUUGAAUACAUUAGCAUGGAAUAAUGAAAUAGGACGUUUGAUCCUAUUUUGUUGGUUUCUAGGAUUGACGUAAUGAUUAAUAGGGAUAGUUGGGGGCAUUAGUAUUCAAUUGUCAGAGGUGAAAUUCUUGGAUUUAUUGAAGACUAACUACUGCGAAAGCAUUUGCCAAGGAUGUUUUCAUUAAUCAAGAACGAAAGUUAGGGGAUCGAAGACGAUCAGAUACCGUCGUAGUCUUAACCAUAAACUAUGCCGACUAGGGAUCGGAUGAUGUUAAUUUUUUAAUGACUCAUUCGGCGCCUUACGGGAAAC
Molecule: ribosomal RNA, 549 nt
Filed under: uncultured Glomeromycotina
Lineage: Eukaryota; Fungi; Glomeromycota
Description: SSU rRNA
Rfam family: Eukaryotic small subunit ribosomal RNA
Source: RNAcentral